UACGGGGGGGGCAAGCGUUGUUCGGAAUUACUGGGCGUAAAGGGCUCGUAGGGGGCCAACUAAGUCAGACGUGAAAUCCCUCGGCUUAACCGGGGAACUGCGUCUGAUACUGGAUGGCUUGAGGUUGGGAGAGGGAUGCGGAAUUCCAGGUGUAGCGGUGAAAUGCGUAGAUAUCUGGAGGAACACCGGUGGCGAAGGCGGCAUCCUGGACCGGCAUUGACGCUGAGGCGCGAAAGCCAGGGGAGCAAACGGG
Molecule: ribosomal RNA, 253 nt
Filed under: uncultured bacterium
Lineage: Bacteria
Description: partial 16S ribosomal RNA
Rfam family: Bacterial small subunit ribosomal RNA
Source: RNAcentral